RNAcentral lists this ribosomal RNA (535 nucleotides) under Scheffersomyces sp. BG090908.5.1.1.2.14. RNAcentral's name for it is "eukaryotic LSU rRNA". It matches the Rfam family "Eukaryotic large subunit ribosomal RNA", at positions 23 to 565 of the family's 3401-position model. Lineage: Eukaryota; Fungi; Ascomycota; Pichiomycetes; Serinales; Debaryomycetaceae. RNAcentral also lists the same sequence under 1 other name. The record is from RNAcentral.
ACCCGCUGAACUUAAGCAUAUCAAUAAGCGGAGGAAAAGAAACCAACAGGGAUUGUCUUAGUAACGGCGAGUGAAGCGACAAAAGCUCAAAUUUGAAAUCUGGCACCUUCGGUGUCCGAGUUGUAAUUUGAAGAAGGUAACUUUGGAGUUGGCUCUUGUCUAUGUUCCUUGGAACAGGACGUCACAGAGGGUGAGAAUCCCGUGCGAUGAGAUGUCCAACUCUAUGUAAAGUGCUUUCGAAGAGUCGAGUUGUUUGGGAAUGCAGCUCUAAGUGGGUGGUAAAUUCCAUCUAAAGCUAAAUAUUGGCGAGAGACCGAUAGCGAACAAGUACAGUGAUGGAAAGAUGAAAAGAACUUUGAAAAGAGAGUGAAAAAGUACGUGAAAUUGUUGAAAGGGAAGGGUUUGAGAUCAGACUUGGUAUUUUGUAUGUCUUGCUUUCGGGUGGGGCCUCUGCAGUUUACUGGGCCAGCAUCGGUUUGGACGGUAGGAUAAUGACAUUGGAAUGUGGCACUACUUCGGUGGUGUGUUAUAGACU